Long non-coding RNA from Esox lucius (northern pike), 1263 nucleotides. The record is from Ensembl. Lineage: Eukaryota; Metazoa; Chordata; Actinopteri; Esociformes; Esocidae.
GUACUAUUUUCUAUAUAGUAAACUAGUAUGCCAGUAUUGGGACCAACUGGGACAUACUACCUUGUCAGAAAGAAAAAUGGUAAAGAAAAUGGUUAAAUACUGCUAUAGAAAUAGCAAUGGACAAGAAGAUGUACUGUCCAACUUUAUUCAGUGAAUCUCAUGUAAACUUGCUCUACUGCUUAAACUUUCCAGACACUGAAUCUCUUUCCAGACCCAUUUGGGCCACUGCGAGGCUAAAAUCAAAUCCAGAAUUGGUUUCUUAUUUUGCUACAAAGCUUCUUUCACCCAUGUCUCACAACAUACUAAUGUAUAACUGCCCAUUCUACCAGUUCUGGAUUUUGGCUGUGUAAUUUAUAGGCUUGCUACUAACAUUCCCCUCAAUGAAUUAGAUAUAGUUUAUCACAACACCGUUUUUUACUUUUAAUAGCAUUUCAUUUCAGAAUAAUACGAUAUAUCAAUUGUAUUUAGCAUGAUUUCUUGCCAAAAGAAAAUAAUUGACAUUUAAUUAUUAAAGUACAGCAUGGCAGUAAUUCAAUGUCCACCAGGGGGCCGUAUGUCACAGGGAUGUAAAUGCACCGACUGGUUUUGAUCACCAGUGCUUGACUAAAGCGAGUGAAGCUAAAUACAAGCACCUCACUUGCUCUACUGCUGGUGUUCAGAUUUCCCAAGUUCUCCCAUGUAACCCCACUCCACUGGCUUCCAGCAGAAUUUGGCAUCUGUUAUAAGACCAUAGUACUUUGCUAAGGUAUAGCUUGGGAAAAUACUCCCUGACUUCAGGCAAUGAUCAAUCCCUACGUCCCUCCAUGACUUCAGGCAAUGAUCAAACCCUACGUCCCUCCAUGACUUCAGGCAAUGAUCAAACCCUACAUCCCUCCCUCACUUCAGGCAAUGAUCAAACCCUACGUCCCUCCAUGACUUCAGGCAAUGAUCAAACCCUACGUCCCUCCAUGACUUCAGGCAAUGAUCAAACCCUACUUCCCUCCAUGACUUCAGGCAAUGAUCAAACCCUACGUCCCUCCAUGACUUCAGGCAAUGAUCAAACCCUACGUCCCUCUAUGACUUCAGGCAAUGAUCAAACCCUACGUCCCUCUAUGACUUCAGGCAAUGAUCAAUCCCUACGUCUCUCUAUGACUUCAGGCAAUGAUCAAUCCCUACGUCCCUCUAUGACUUCAGGUAGUGAUCAAACCCUACAUCCCUCCCUGAGGUUUUCUGCCACCUCUUGUUGUCGUCACACCUCUGCAUGAUGGCAGCUCUGUCCAGGAA